UCAAGGCUUAUGAAGGAAAGAGUAGUUAAGAAACACUAGGCAAGAGAGAGGAUUUCUAGGCUGGAAGAAUCCUUACUAGAUGACUUAACGAAAAACAUUCUGGAAGCUUUAUAUCGAAAGGAUAGUAGGUAUAAACGUAGGCAGGCGUUAACUGUGUAAGUGGAAGUGUCAAUGUAUGAUGGGACGCUUCAACUAGGGUGGCAACACGGGUGAACUCUCGUCCCUUUU
Molecule: non-coding RNA, 228 nt
Filed under: Gracilibacillus halophilus
Lineage: Bacteria; Bacillati; Bacillota; Bacilli; Caryophanales; Bacillaceae
Description: T-box sequence
Rfam family: T-box leader
About the family: Uncharged tRNA acts as the effector for transcription antitermination of genes in the T-box leader family. T-boxes are found upstream of many aminoacyl-tRNA synthetase genes and some amino acid biosynthetic genes usually in Gram-positive bacteria. The anticodon of a specific tRNA base pairs to a specifier sequence within the T-box motif, and the NCCA acceptor tail of the tRNA base pairs to a conserved bulge in the T-box antiterminator hairpin.
Source: RNAcentral